This 1136-nucleotide ribosomal RNA is filed under the name uncultured bacterium. RNAcentral describes it as "bacterial SSU rRNA". It matches the Rfam family "Bacterial small subunit ribosomal RNA", at positions 353 to 1482 of the family's 1533-position model. The record is from RNAcentral.
AGUAGGGAAUCUUCCACAAUGGGUGCAAACCUGAUGGAGCAAUGCCGCGUGAGUGAAGAAGGUCUUCGGAUCGUAAAGCUCUGUUGUUAGAGAAGAACACGUGCUAGGUAACUACUAGCGCCUUGACGGUAUCUAACCAGAAAGUCACGGCUAACUACGUGCCAGCAGCCGCGGUAAUACGUAGGUGACAAGCGUUGUCCGGAUUUAUUGGGCGUAAAGGGAGCGCAGGCGGUCUGUUUAGUCUAAUGUGAAAGCCCACGGCUUAACCGUGGAACGGCAUUGGAAACUGACGGACUUGAAUGUAGAAGAGGAAAAUGGAAUUCCAAGUGUAGCGGUGGAAUGCGUAGAUAUUUGGAGGAACACCAGUGGCGAAGGCGAUUUUCUGGUCUAACAUUGACGCUGAGGCUCGAAAGCGUGGGGAGCGAACAGGAUUAGAUACCCUGGUAGUCCACGCCGUAAACGAUGAGUGCUAAGUGUUGGGGGCUUUCCGGCCCUCGGUGCUGGAGCUAACGUAUUAAGCACUCCGCCUGGGGAUUACGACCGCAAGGUUGAAACUCAAAAGAAUUGACGGGGACCCGCACAAGCGGUGGAGCAUGUGGUUUAAUUCGAAGCAACGCGAAGAACCUUACCAGCUCUUGACAUCUUCUGACAACUCUAGAGAUAGAGUGUUCCCUUCGGGGACAGAAUGACAGGUGGUGCAUGGUUGUCGUCAGCUCGUGUCGUGAGAUGUUGGGUUAAGUCCCGUAACGAGCGCAACCCUUGUUGUUAGUUGCCAGCAUUAAGUUGGGCACUUUAACGAGACUGCCGGUGAUAAACCGGAGGAAGGCGGGGAUGACGUCAAAUCAUCAUGCCCCUUAUGAGCUGGGCUACACACGUGCUACAAUGGAUGGUACAACGAGCAGCGAUCCCGCAAGGGCUAGCUAAUCUUUCAAAGCCAUUCUCAGUUCGGAUUGCACUCUGCAACUCGAGUGCAUGAAGUCGGAAUCGCUAGUAAUCGCGAAUCAGAAUGUCGCGGUGAAUCCGUUCCCGGGUCUUGUACACACCGCCCGUCACACCACGAGAGUUUGAAACACCCGAAGUCGGCCGGCCAACCCUAUGGGAGGCAGCCGUCGAAGGUGGGUUGAAUGAUUGGGGUG